Favolaschia claudopus is the source of this 122-nucleotide non-coding RNA. NCBI's taxonomy places the organism in Eukaryota, Fungi, Basidiomycota, Agaricomycetes, Agaricales, Mycenaceae. The record is from the annotation of a GenBank genome assembly.
GCUUUCGUGGUGUAGCGGUAACAUUGGGUCUUCCCACCUCAGGAGUAACGUGAUUCCGCGUAACUCCGGAUUCAUGUUGCACUUGGUUGGGCUAGCUCCGGGUUCGACUCCCGGCGGACGCA